Molecule: ribosomal RNA, 370 nt
Filed under: Anopheles maculipennis
Lineage: Eukaryota; Metazoa; Arthropoda; Insecta; Diptera; Culicidae
Description: eukaryotic LSU rRNA
Source: RNAcentral
CCGAUAAGUUGAACGCAUAUUGCGCAUCGUGCGACACAGCUCGAUGUACACAUUUUUGAGUGCCUAUAUUUGACCCAGGUCAAACUACGUACCUCCGGGUACGUGCAUGAUGAUGAAAGAGUUUGGAACACCAUCCUUCUCUUGCAUUGAAAACGCAGCGUGUAGCAACCCCAGGUUUCAACUUGCAAAGUGGCCAUGGGGCUGACACCUCACCACCAUCAGCGUGCUGUGUAGCGUGUUCGGCCCAGUUCGGUCAUCGUGAGGCGUUACCUAACGGGGAGGCACACACUGUUGCGCGUAUCUACAUGGUUACCCAACCAUAGCAGCAGAGAUACAACACCGGCUCCUAGUAGCCCAUGGGCCUCAAAUA